GACGAACGCUGGCGGCGUGCCUAAUACAUGCAAGUAGAACGCUGAAGGAGGAGCUUGCUCUUUCCGGAUGAGUUGCGAACGGGUGAGUAACGCGUAGGUAACCUGCCUGGUAGCGGGGGAUAACUAUUGGAAACGAUAGCUAAUACCGCAUAAGAGUAGAUAUCGCAUGAUAGCUGCUUGAAAGGUGCAAUUGCACCACUACCAGAUGGACCUGCGUUGUAUUAGCUAGUUGGUGAGGUAACGGCUCACCAAGGCAACGAUACAUAGCCGACCUGAGAGGGUGAUCGGCCACACUGGGACUGAGACACGGCCCAGACUCCUACGGGAGGCAGCAGUAGGGAAUCUUCGGCAAUGGACGGAAGUCUGACCGAGCAACGCCGCGUGAGUGAAGAAGGUUUUCGGAUCGUAAAGCUCUGUUGUAAGAGAAGAACGAGUGUGAGAGUGGAAAGUUCACACUGUGACGGUAUCUUACCAGAAAGGGACGGCUAACCACGUGCCAGCAGCCGCGGUAAUACGUAGGUCCCGAGCGUUGUCCGGAUUUAUUGGGCGUAAAGCGAGCGCAGGCGGUUAGAUAAGUCUGAAGUUAAAGGCUGUGGCUUAACCAUAGUACGCUUUGGAAACUGUUUAACUUGAGUGCAAGAGGGGAGAGUGGAAUUCCAUGUGUAGCGGUGAAAUGCGUAGAUAUAUGGAGGAACACCGGUGGCGAAAGCGGCUCUCUGGCUUGUAACUGACGCUGAGGCUCGAAAGCGUGGGGAGCAAACAGG
This 764-nucleotide ribosomal RNA is filed under the name uncultured Streptococcus sp. Its description in RNAcentral is "bacterial SSU rRNA". It matches the Rfam family "Bacterial small subunit ribosomal RNA", at positions 28 to 776 of the family's 1533-position model. Lineage: Bacteria; Bacillati; Bacillota; Bacilli; Lactobacillales; Streptococcaceae. The record is from RNAcentral.